RNAcentral lists this ribosomal RNA (497 nucleotides) under uncultured bacterium. RNAcentral describes it as "partial 16S ribosomal RNA". It matches the Rfam family "Bacterial small subunit ribosomal RNA", at positions 28 to 507 of the family's 1533-position model. The record is from RNAcentral.
GAUGAACGCUGGCGGCGUGCCUAAUACAUGCAAGUCGAGCGAACAGACGAGGAGCUUGCUCCUCUGACGUUAGCGGCGGACGGGUGAGUAACACGUGGAUAACCUACCUAUAAGACUGGGAUAACUUCGGGAAACCGGAGCUAAUACCGGAUAAUAUAUUGAACCGCAUGGUUCAAUAGUGAAAGACGGUUUUGCUGUCACUUAUAGAUGGAUCCGCGCCGCAUUAGCUAGUUGGUAAGGUAACGGCUUACCAAGGCGACGAUGCGUAGCCGACCUGAGAGGGUGAUCGGCCACACUGGAACUGAGACACGGUCCAGACUCCUACGGGAGGAAGCAGUAGGGAAUCUUCCGCAAUGGGCGAAAGCUUGACGGAGCAACGCCGCGUGAGUGAUGAAGGUCUUCGGAUCGUAAAACUCUGUUAUUAGGGAAGAACAAAUGUGUAAGUAACUAUGCACGUCUUGACGGUACCUAAUCAGAAAGCCACGGCUAACUACGUG